GCCUCAUCCCUUCCUAGGAGAACGUAUCCUGUGCACCGGAUGAAUUGGUGCAACGAAUGCGCCGACUGAUUCUGAGCCACUGGAUGAAGAACAGACGGGUUGGAUCUUAGUAUAAGGUGGCAGCCGGUACAUUUCACACAAUGGACCUUGUAAAGUCAUUCAACUACACAAGCAGUCCUUCCAAGAUCCCAUCGUCUUCUUCCCUUCGCUCUUCUCCCUUCUGUACCUGUACACCGAGGAUUUGCAAGCUAGGGUUAGCGAUUUGCUUCAUCGCCUCUCUCUCCUCCACCUCCCCCUCUGCUGGGCCACUCUGACCUUCUCCCUACUGUAUUUUGUACCUAAUUCCAGCUCUGUACAAGCGCCCCCUCUCCCCUGAAACGACCGCGCCACCGACGAGCGCUUACAUGUAGCGCCGCCAUGCUGUAGGUCUGGGCAACAUUGACCCAGCCAUCGCAAAGCCGGCCAUCUUCUGCAGCUUAAAGUAUCCAGGGAAUGAAGAGCAGACAUUAAGGUCAAGAUCUGGAACAAGAAUAUAUUUUGUAAUGGCAGCAAGUACUGUCUGGAUGUUCAGCUGCAAGCUCAUUUAUAGUUACUUUGUCUCUUCUAGCCAGCCAAGAUAUCUCUGUCAGAUGAUGAGGGGAGCUGCUAAUUCAGGAUAUAUUGGCAUCUGAAACGUAAUGUAUCUCUUGUAGUAAAGUUAUUGACAACAGAACAUGGUGGACCUUCUGUUCAAGAGUUGUGUAGAACAAGCUAUCCUUAUGAAAUAUGUGCGUCAUAUAUAUGUACACAAUGAGUGAAUCCGACUGUGUAUACGACAGUGGUGUACAAGAAAUUUAAAUAUGGUACUGUCAAGUUUUCUA
This is a long non-coding RNA of Triticum aestivum (bread wheat), 860 nucleotides long. RefSeq lists it as uncharacterized. NCBI's taxonomy places the organism in Eukaryota, Viridiplantae, Streptophyta, Magnoliopsida, Poales, Poaceae. The transcript is spliced from 3 exons. The record is from RefSeq and is a predicted model, not a curated record.